CGAACGUUAGCGGCGGGCCUAACACAUGCAAGUCGAACGAGAAAAUCCCUUCGGGGGUGAGUACAGUGGCGCACGGGUGAGGAACGCGUAGGUAAUCUACCCUUUGGCGGGGGACAACAUUCCGAAAGGAAUGCUAAUACCGCGUAAGACCACGCCCACUGCGGUGGAAGUGGUAAAAGGUGCCUCAAAGCACCACCAGAGGAUGAGCCUGCGUCCCAUCAGCUUGUUGGUAAGGUAAUGGCUUACCAAGGCUAAGACGGGUAGCUGGUCUGAGAGGAUGAUCAGCCACACUGGCACUGGAACACGGGCCAGACUCCUACGGGAGGCAGCAGUGAGGAAUAUUGGGCAAUGGGCGCAAGCCUGACCCAGCCACGCCGCGUGUGUGAUGAAGGCCUUCGGGUCGUAAAGCACUGUGGGGAGAGACGAAACAGCGCGCCAGGAAAUGGGUGCGCCUUGACGGUACCUCCUUAGCAAGCACCGGCUAACUCU
This 489-nucleotide ribosomal RNA is filed under the name uncultured bacterium. RNAcentral's name for it is "bacterial SSU rRNA". It matches the Rfam family "Bacterial small subunit ribosomal RNA", at positions 30 to 504 of the family's 1533-position model. The record is from RNAcentral.